Molecule: ribosomal RNA, 420 nt
Filed under: uncultured bacterium
Lineage: Bacteria
Description: bacterial SSU rRNA
Rfam family: Bacterial small subunit ribosomal RNA
Source: RNAcentral
GAAUAUUGGUCAAUGGAUGAGAGUCUGAACCAGCCAUGCCGCGUGCAGGAUGACUGCCCUAUGGGUUGUAAACUGCUUUUAUAUAGGAAGAAACCCUUUUACGUGUAGAAGGUUGACGGUACUAUAAGAAUAAGGACCGGCUAACUCCGUGCCAGCAGCCGCGGUAAUACGGAGGGUCCAAGCGUUAUCCGGAUUUAUUGGGUUUAAAGGGUACGUAGGCGGAGCUUUAAGUCAGUAGUGAAAGCCCAUUGCUUAACAAUGGAACUGCUAUUGAUACUGGAGUUCUUGAAUAUAGUUGAAGUAGGCGGAAUACGGCAUGUAGCGGUGAAAUGCAUAGAUAUGCCGUGGAACACCAAUCGCGAAGGCAGCUUACUAAGCUAUUAUUGACGCUGAUGUACGAAAGCGUGGGGAGCGAACAGG